This 520-nucleotide ribosomal RNA is filed under the name uncultured Acaulospora. RNAcentral describes it as "SSU rRNA". It matches the Rfam family "Eukaryotic small subunit ribosomal RNA", at positions 569 to 1088 of the family's 1831-position model. Lineage: Eukaryota; Fungi; Glomeromycota; Glomeromycetes; Diversisporales; Acaulosporaceae. The record is from RNAcentral.
AGCACCCGCGGUAAUUCCAGCUCCAAUAGCGUAUAUUAAAGUUGUUGCAGUUAAAAAGCUCGUAGUUGAAUUUCGGGAUUUGUCAGUUGGUCGGGCUUCACUGUCCGUAUUGACUUGAUGGAUUCUUACCUUCUGAAUAACCAGCAUGCUAUUAAGUUAGUGCGUUGGGGAAGCAGAUCUAUUACCUUGAAAAAAUUAGAGUGCUUAAAGCGAGCUAGUGCUUGAAUAGAUUAGCAUGGAAUAAUAAAAUAGGACGGCAUGGUUCUAUUUUGUUGGUUUCUAGGAUCACCGUAAUGAUUAAUAGGGAUAGUUGGGGGCAUUAGUAUUCAAUUGUCAGAGGUGAAAUUCUUGGAUUUAUUGAAGACUAACUUCUGCGAAAGCAUUUGCCAAGGAUGUUUUCAUUAAUCAAGAACGAAAGUUAGGGGAUCGAAGACGAUCAGAUACCGUCGUAGUCUUAACCAUAAACUAUGCCGACUAGGAAUCGGACGAUGUUAAUUUUAUAAUGACUCGUUCGGCACCU